AAAUUAAAAAAAAAAAUUCAAAUCAGCUAUGACAGUGCCUAGUCAACUCUCAUCGGCAACAAAAUCAUAGCUGGUCUAGAUUCGUUUCAUUUCUCAGUUUCUCUCGCUUCUGUCUGUCUAUGCUAAAUUACAAGUAAUAAAGCUGGACCGAGAAGACUUUUAGUCUCCUCCUGUUCCUACUCUUUCCUGCCAAGUCGGCUGUUUUGCCAAUGCCUUGAUGGGCCUUCUUUCCAUUCUCUGCUCUUGCCUCCAGAGAAAACUCAAAUCCACUGCUUCCGAUGUCGCCGAUCACGACUUUGAAACUCAUGACCUCUUCUUCGACCUCCGUACGCUUCAAAUAGCUACCAAUUUUUUCUCCGACUUGAAUCAGCUUGGUCAUGGUGGAUUCGGUCCCGUUUACAGGGGAUUGAUACCAAAUGGUCAAGAAGUUGCAGUGAAGAAGCUUUCACUAAAUUCAAGACAGGGACUGCGAGAAUUCACUAAUGAGGUGAAACUCUUGUUGAAACUUCAGCACAAGAACUUGGUCACUUUGUUGGGAUGUUGUGUAGAGGGAACUGAGAAGAUGCUUGUUUAUGAAUAUCUGCCAAACAAAAGCCUUGAUUAUUUUCUUUUUGAUAAACAGAAAUCUUCAUCCCUUGAUUGGACAACACGGUUUAGAAUAGUUACAGGAGUGGCAAGAGGUCUUCUCUACCUGCAUGAAGAAGCCCCUGAAAGGAUCAUUCAUAGAGACAUCAAAGCUAGCAAUGUUUUGUUGGAUGAACAUUUGAAUCCAAAAAUUUCAGAUUUUG
RNAcentral lists this unclassified non-coding RNA (788 nucleotides) under Hevea brasiliensis (rubber tree). The record is from RNAcentral. Lineage: Eukaryota; Viridiplantae; Streptophyta; Magnoliopsida; Malpighiales; Euphorbiaceae.